RNAcentral lists this ribosomal RNA (305 nucleotides) under uncultured bacterium. RNAcentral's name for it is "bacterial SSU rRNA". It matches the Rfam family "Bacterial small subunit ribosomal RNA", at positions 337 to 644 of the family's 1533-position model. The record is from RNAcentral.
GCCUACGGGGCGCAGCAGUGGGGAAUAUUGCACAAUGGGGGAAACCCUGAUGCAGCGACGCCGCGUGAGUGAAGAAGUAUCUCGGUACGUAAAGCUCUAUCAGCAGGGAAGAAAAAAAGUCUUUGGCUUUGGACGGUACCUGACUAAGAAGCCCCGGCUAACUACGUGCCAGCAGCCGCGGUAAUACGUAGGGGGCAAGCGUUAUCCGGAUUUACUGGGUGUAAAGGGAGCGCAGGCGGCACGGCAAGCCUGAUGUGAAAGCCCGCGGCCCAACCGCGGGACUGCAUUGGGAACUACCGGGCUGG